Molecule: long non-coding RNA, 391 nt
Filed under: Trifolium pratense (red clover)
Lineage: Eukaryota; Viridiplantae; Streptophyta; Magnoliopsida; Fabales; Fabaceae
Description: long non-coding RNA (TPRA_LNC005286)
Source: RNAcentral
UUUCAUUACUGAUAAGCAACAUCAUAAGCUCUCUCUUCCUCACGCAUCAGCAUCACCAUCAUCAAGCCAACCGCAUCAAUUUCAAUUCCAAGUCCACAUGCAAUCACUAUUUUAGGACCCUUAUGUUUUAGGCUUUCUAACAAGGUAAGAAUCACUCUAAUCCCCCUGCUCUCUUUCAAUUUUGUUUCCUUCUAUCAAGCCUAAAUCUGAAUUCCUUGCAUGUCUUUUAACCCACCAUGAAGGUUUUAAAGUAGAUUCGUCAAACCCGUAUUCUUAGACACAACCUCACUAAAAAGGUAAUUUUUCACUCCUCGUAACUCUGAUUGAGAUUCCGUUUGAUUCUGUGGUUAGCUAACUCGAUUCCGGUCAUUUCUGUUGAGAAUAAUAUGCC